RNAcentral lists this ribosomal RNA (472 nucleotides) under uncultured bacterium. Its description in RNAcentral is "partial 16S ribosomal RNA". It matches the Rfam family "Bacterial small subunit ribosomal RNA", at positions 29 to 507 of the family's 1533-position model. The record is from RNAcentral.
AUAAACGCUGGCGGCGCACAUAAGACAUGCAAGUUGAACGGACUUAAUCGAAAUAUUUAUAUUUUGAGGCGGUUAGUGGCGGACUGGUGAGUAACGCGUAAGGAACCUGCCUAUUAGAGGGGAAUAACAGUGAGAAAUCAUUGCUAAUACCGCAUAUGCCAUAGAUAUCACAUGAUAACAGUGGGAAAGGAGCAAUCCGCUAAUAGAUGGCCUUGCGUCUGAUUAGAUAGUUGGUGGGGUAACGGCCUACCAAGUCGACGAUCAGUAGCCGGACUGAGAGGUUGAACGGCCACAUUGGGACUGAGAUACGGCCCAGACUCCUACGGGAGGCAGCAGUCGGGAAUAUUGCGCAAUGGAGGAAACUCUGACGCAGUGACGCCGCGUAUAGGAAGAAGGUUUUCGGAUUGUAAACUAUUGUCGUUAGGGAAGAGAAAGGACAGUACCUAAGGAGGAAGCUCCGGCUAACUACGUG